GACGGACGCUGGCGGCGUGCUUAACACAUGCAAGUCGAACGGAAAGGCCCUGCUUUUGUGGGGUGCUCGAGUGGCGAACGGGUGAGUAACACGUGAGUAACCUGCCCUUGACUUUGGGAUAACUUCAGGAAACUGGGGCUAAUACCGGAUAGGAGCUCCUGCUGCAUGGUGGGGGUUGGAAAGUUUCGGCGGUUGGGGAUGGACUCGCGGCUUAUCAGCUUGUUGGUGGGGUAGUGGCUUACCAAGGCUUUGACGGGUAGCCGGCCUGAGAGGGUGACCGGCCACAUUGGGACUGAGAUACGGCCCAGACUCCUACGGGAGGCAGCAGUGGGGAAUAUUGCACAAUGGGCGGAAGCCUGAUGCAGCAACGCCGCGUGCGGGAUGACGGCCUUCGGGUUGUAAACCGCUUUCGCCUGUGACGAAGCGUGAGUGACGGUAAUGGGUAAAAAAGCACCGGCUAACUACGUG
RNAcentral lists this ribosomal RNA (468 nucleotides) under uncultured bacterium. RNAcentral's name for it is "partial 16S ribosomal RNA". It matches the Rfam family "Bacterial small subunit ribosomal RNA", at positions 28 to 507 of the family's 1533-position model. The record is from RNAcentral.